Long non-coding RNA from Canis lupus familiaris (dog), 1281 nucleotides. RefSeq lists it as uncharacterized. NCBI's taxonomy places the organism in Eukaryota, Metazoa, Chordata, Mammalia, Carnivora, Canidae. The transcript has 2 exons. The record is from RefSeq and is a predicted model, not a curated record.
UUGGGGGUUGAAGUAGGAUGAGGGGAGGAAUUCCGUCCAAAUCAACAUGGCCAGCGAGAUGUCCCUACAAACAAAAGGCAACGGGGGGAUAUAAACACGAACCAUUCACCUCCAUCAGCUAUAGCAUCGCCAUCAUGAUCGCUGGAUGAAGCAUUUCCAGAUUUCUUAGCUCAGAUGUUCCUCAUGACGGCGCGGUGAGGUGGGCAGAGGAGACGUUACAAUCCCCGUGGCAUCCUACGUAGUCAGAAAUGAGAGCUCAGGGAAGGGGAAAAGUGAGUGGCCCAAACACUUUGACAGCGGUGACCCGGAGACAAAAUUUCAUAGACGUUCGUUCAUUUAACUCUGUUUCAACGAGUGAUGAUUCACUGAUUAUGUACCAGUCCUGUUUCUUUGUGAAUACAUCGGGGAAAUUUAAAAAAAAAAAAAAAAAAGAGUCCCCGCCCUCCUGUAUGUAGCUCUCUACUGGAGGAACAGACAAGUGCACCGAUAAAAGAUACAAUUACAAAUGGUGAGGAGUACCGGAAAAGAGCUAAAAAGGUCCAGGGAGAAAAAAGCGGUUGGAAGGAGAUGUGCUUGAUACCGGGAGGGCUUUCUCCAAUAUUUUGACGUUUGAGCAGAUGUGAUGAAUUAUUUCACACCUUUUCCUCGCUACUGAAAGCUUCCCAACCUCCACUCUUUGCUCUCAAUUUUUGCUUCAUUCCUCAUGGAAAAAAAUUAAAAGAUAUAACAGCCAUGAACUCCCUUAUCUUCUCACCAUCAAAACUAUUAUUACAGACAUAGUAACAUUUGGGUUACUAUGAAUGAAGUGUCCUUGCGCCUAUGAAUGCCAGUCCCUCUACCAGUGACCUGGAUUCCUUUCCCUCCCACAUUCCUAAAAACUUUACUCCUACAAUCACCUCGCCCUCCAGCAUCAUAACUUUUUCCCCUAUUAGAUUACUUCUAUCAGGAUACAAACAUACUGAAAUUCCUCCCAUCUAAAACAAACCUCCCUUGACUCCAAAAUCUCCUCCAGAACUGCCCUAUUUCUCCCUCUUCAGUGCAUAAAUUCUCAGGUUUUUCAAGAUCUCCCAACAGUGAUUGUUCUCCUUUCCUCAUUCCCUUCUCCUACCACAUUCCCUUCUCAGCCCACUCCGAUCCAGCCUUGACUUCUCUCAUCGAGAUCACUUAUCAAGAUUAUUAAUAAUCUCUGUUUCCAAAACCACCUGUCAAUUCUGUAUUAUCUAAAAUGACCUCACAGCAGAACUGCAAUAACUAAAUAAAUCUUAAAAAAAAAAAAAAAAA